CCCUGCCAUGCCCCUAACCUCCAGGGAGGGAAGAGGGGCUGGAGAUUGAAUCCAAUUACCCAAUGGCCAGUGAUUCAAUCAACCAUGCCUAAGAAACGAAGGGUUUGGAGAACUUCCGGGUUGGUGAAGAAGAAGGUACCCAUAUGCUGGGAGGGUGGCAUACCCGAAACUCCACAAGAACUGAUGCUCCUGUACUUGAGACCCUUCUGGACCUUGCCCUAUGUAUCUCUUCAUCUGUUUGUUGGUUUACUAGACAGUAAGCUCUAUGAGGACAGUAACUUUGCCUGUCUUGUUCCUGACUGGCAACCUUGUAGGAUGGGAAUCUUGAGCAAGAAGGGAGCUCUUCUGAGAAAAAUGCCAACACUGAGGAAAUCAUUCCUGAAAGAUGGAGAGCACAAUAAUAGUAAAAGACAUCAACUGUCGUCUUGGAUCCAAUUAUCCUCGAAACAAAACAAACCUCCUGGAUUUUUCAUUAUGUGAACCAAUUGAUUAAGCUAGUUUGUGUUGGUUUCUGUUCUUUACAACCAACUGUAUUGACUAACACACCAAUAAAUGGAAUCUACAAAGCAAAUCAACCAGCAACCAAUUAGGGCUUAGAGAGAGUAUAUUGUCAUAAAACCCCAAGCCUGGCAGGAAGAGUCUUGUAAUUGUUAAACCUCCAUGCAGCCCCCAGGUACCCAUACCCACCCAUAGGAAGGAAGCUACUCAAGUGGACCAGCUCACAGCUGGGGAUUCCUCCACAUGGCAGACAUAGUUUCUGCCUCUCCUUCAGCCCUUUGCUUCAUCUUCCUUGUGAAGAGAAUCCAGAAUUUCUUUUAUGGAAGGCUCAAGCUAAUUAUGAUCAUUGUAUUUCCCCACAAUAAUUGACUUAGGAAUGGGCAUGUGGUGCAAUUCUGCCCAAUGACAUAUGAGAGGAAGUCCCUGGGGAGCUUCAGAAAAGUUGUCUUUGCUCUUCCAAAGUGAUUUAGAGAAGGAUGCCCUUUUGCCCUCUUCCAACCUUUGGAUAUUAUGUGAGGACAUGAUGCUUAGACCUGUUACAACCAUUUUGUGAGGUGAGGAAAUAAGCCUGAAGACAAAAGCUAAACAAAGCCAUGGGGGUGGUGGGGUAAAACCACAGCAAGGUCUAUAGGCGGCAGCCAUACAGUUCUUGCUCCUCCUGUACUAUGAGCACCUUUAUAUGGAGCCAUGGCAAGCACUGAGGUUCUCUUUAUUACUCUCUUAGUGUUAUGGUCUCCUAGGAUAGGGGUAUUCCCCCAUCUUCUUCCCAGGCACUGGAAAAAUGGACUACAGUCUACCCUUACCUUCAUGAGACCAUUCCAACAAGUUUCCUUUCAAAAAUCUACAGCCCAAAAAGCAGGCACCAAUUUCUAUGUUUACACGCUCACCUCCUCUCCCCUGGGGGAUGUAUGUAAAGCUCUUCUAAAAAUUCUC
Molecule: long non-coding RNA, 1431 nt
Filed under: Equus caballus (horse)
Lineage: Eukaryota; Metazoa; Chordata; Mammalia; Perissodactyla; Equidae
Description: lncRNA (ENSECAG00000056076.1)
Source: RNAcentral